RNAcentral lists this unclassified non-coding RNA (330 nucleotides) under uncultured fungus. RNAcentral's name for it is "partial contains 5.8S ribosomal RNA, internal transcribed spacer 2, and large subunit ribosomal RNA". The record is from RNAcentral. Lineage: Eukaryota; Fungi.
AACGCACCUUGCGCUCCUUGGUAUUCUGAGGAGCACGCCUGUUUGAGUGUCAUGAAAUUCUCAACCUUAUAUGCCCUUGUUAUGGGGGUUCUGUAAAGUUGGACUUGGAGGUGUAUUGUCAGCUUGCCCUCUGCGAGUUGGCUCCUCUCAAAUGCAUUAGCUUUAGUUCCUUUGUGGAUCGGCUUUUGGUGUGAUAGUUGUGUCUACGCCGUGACCGUGAAGCGUUUAUGGCAUAAGCUUAUAAACUCCAACGCCUCUUUCCCAUUCUUUGGGGUAGCGUUCUCUUGACAAUCUGACCUCAAAUCAGGUGGGAUUACCCGCUGAACUUAA